CCUACGGGUGGCAGCAGUGAGGAAUAUUGGUCAAUGGGCGAGAGCCUGAACCAGCCAAGUCGCGUGAGGGAGUACUGCCCUAUGGGCGUUAAACUUCUUUUGUGCGGGAGCAAUAAUGGUCACGUGUGGCCAGACGAGAGUACCGUACGAAUAAGCAUCGGCUAACUCCGUGCCAGCAGCCGCGGUAAUACGGGGGAUGCAAGCGUUAUCCGGAUUUAUUGGGUUUAAAGGGUGCGUAGGAUGUGAGGUAAGUCAGCGGUGAAAUGCCCCCGCUCAACGGGGUUAAGUGCCAUUGAUACUGGCUUGCUGGAAUGCGGAUGCCGUGGGAGGAAUGUGUGGUGUAGCGGUGAAAUGCAUAGAUAUCACACAGAACACCGAUUGCGAAGGCAUCUCACGAAUCCGCGAUUGACGCUGAUGCACGAAAGCGUGGGUAUCAAACAGGAUUAGAUACCCUGGUAGUC
Molecule: ribosomal RNA, 461 nt
Filed under: uncultured bacterium
Lineage: Bacteria
Description: partial 16S ribosomal RNA
Rfam family: Bacterial small subunit ribosomal RNA
Source: RNAcentral